Molecule: ribosomal RNA, 514 nt
Filed under: Delevea sp. TJH-2005b
Lineage: Eukaryota; Metazoa; Arthropoda; Insecta; Coleoptera; Torridincolidae
Description: partial 16S ribosomal RNA
Rfam family: Bacterial large subunit ribosomal RNA (bases 388-514)
Source: RNAcentral
GUCUUUUUGAAAAUAAUUUAAAGUCUAACCUGCCCAUUGAAAAAUUUUAACGGCCGCAGUAAUUUGACUGUGCAAAGGUAGCAUAAUCAUUAGUUUUUUAAUUUAAAGCUAGAAUGAAUGGUUGAACGAAAUAAAAUCUGUCUCAAAUUUAAUUUUUUAAAAUUUAAUUUUUAAGUUAAAAAGCUUAAAUUUAAUUAAAAGACGAGAAGACCCUAUAGAGCUUUAUAUAAAUUAUAUUAAAAAUAUAAUAUAGAAUUUUUAAAAUUAUAAUAUAAAAUAUAUUUUAUUGGGGUGAUAAAAAAAUUUAUAAAACUUUUUUUAUUUUAAAACAUUAAUUUAUGAAUUUAUGAUCCAUUAUUAUUGAUUAAAAGAUUAAGUUACCUUAGGGAUAACAGCGUAAUUUUUUUAAAGAGUUCUUAUCGAAAAAAAAGAUUGCGACCUCGAUGUUGGAUUAAAGAUUAUUUUUGGUGUAGAAGUUAAAAAUUUAGGUCUGUUCGACCUUUAAAUCUUUACA